This is a long non-coding RNA of Fukomys damarensis (Damara mole-rat), 859 nucleotides long. RefSeq lists it as uncharacterized. Lineage: Eukaryota; Metazoa; Chordata; Mammalia; Rodentia; Bathyergidae. The record is from RefSeq and is a predicted model, not a curated record. The transcript is spliced from 4 exons.
UCCGCUUCCUGCUUGCCCUGACAUUAGGUGUUUUUCAUCCGCCAUGCCCAGUUGUCACAUCAUGGUCCCUUGGAGCCAGCCGACUAAUGACUGAAACCUCUACAAACUGUCCAUCAUGUAAUCAAUGCUCAAGUACAAGGAGAGUGUCAUUUUCAGCUUUUUGCAGUGGACCACAACAAAGCAAAGUUUCCCCAGGACAAAGUUCGGCUGCUUUCUCAUUCCCUUCUUCUGUCGUGAAGACUAUUCUCCAAAUCAAACAAGCAAAGAAGAGAAUUAUAGGCUGUAUUUUAGGAUUGUUAAAGGGACUUGACAAACAAAUGUGCAAUGUCUCCUACUUCAGUCAUUGGCCAUGAACCACCACAGAACAACUGCAUUACUAAGAAACUUGCACCAAAAGACCUUGCCCAAGUCAAUAGAGGAGCCAGACUGACAAGACAGACACCUUGCAAGACCCAGUUGCAGAACAAAGGAAUAAAAUAUACUAUUAUAUGAUGGCUUGUAAACUUCUGCAUAGAGAUUAUAUGGCCAUUCUUUGUUUUUGAGAUGGGUCCCCUUAUAUAAUUCAGGCUGGCCUCUCAAGGUCAGAAUUACAGGUAUGUGUCACCAUGCCGGGCAACAUGGCCACUCUUGAAUACAGCUGAAUGGAGAUAAAUAAUCCUCUCACACUGAUGGACUCCACAGAGACAGAAUCAGUCUGUUUGGGAAAUAAUGGUACUGUACAGCAAUGUACAGCAAGGAUGAGUAUAUUCACCCACAAGAUGACGGAGCGGUGCUUUGUUGAGAUUAUCCCUCUUUGAUAGCAUCAGCUAUUAGAUUACUAGGGAAAGAUGUACAAGGCAGUCAAGCAGUUUUUAAGAGU